This 469-nucleotide ribosomal RNA is filed under the name uncultured bacterium. RNAcentral's name for it is "bacterial SSU rRNA". It matches the Rfam family "Bacterial small subunit ribosomal RNA", at positions 29 to 491 of the family's 1533-position model. The record is from RNAcentral.
AUUGAACGCUGGCGGCGUGCCUAACACAUGCAAGUCGAGCGGUAACAGGUGUAGCAAUACAUGCUGACGAGCGGCGGACGGGUGAGUAACGCUUGGGAAUCUGCCUGUUAGUGGGGGACAACCCGGGGAAACUCGGGCUAAUACCGCAUACGCACUACGGUGGAAAGCCGGGGACCGCAAGGCCUGGCGCUAACAGAUGAGCCCAAGUCGGAUUAGCUAGUUGGUAGGGUAAUGGCCUACCAAGGCGACGAUCGGUAGCUGGUCUGAGAGGACGACCAGCCACACUGGGACUGAGACACGGCCCAGACUCCUACGGGAGGCAGCAGUGGGGAAUAUUGGACAAUGGGCGCAAGCCUGAUCCAGCGAUGCCGCGUGUGUGAAGAAGGCCUGCGGGUUGUAAAGCACUUUCAGUAGGGAAGAAAAGCGGGUGCUAAUAUCACUCGGUCUUGACGUUACUUACAGAAGAAGC